RNAcentral lists this ribosomal RNA (465 nucleotides) under uncultured Klebsiella sp. RNAcentral's name for it is "bacterial SSU rRNA". It matches the Rfam family "Bacterial small subunit ribosomal RNA", at positions 338 to 795 of the family's 1533-position model. Lineage: Bacteria; Pseudomonadati; Pseudomonadota; Gammaproteobacteria; Enterobacterales; Enterobacteriaceae. The record is from RNAcentral.
CCUACGGGUGGCUGCAGUGGGGAAUAUUGCACAAUGGGCGCAAGCCUGAUGCAGCCAUGCCGCGUGUGUGAAGAAGGCCUUCGGGUUGUAAAGCACUUUCAGCGGGGAGGAAGGCGUUAAGGUUAAUAACCUUGGCGAUUGACGUUACCCGCAGAAGAAGCACCGGCUAACUCCGUGCCAGCAGCCGCGGUAAUACGGAGGGUGCAAGCGUUAAUCGGAAUUACUGGGCGUAAAGCGCACGCAGGCGGUCUGUCAGGUCGGAUGUGAAAUCCCCGGGCUCAACCUGGGAACUGCAUUCGAAACUGGCAGGCUAGAGUCUUGUAGAGGGGGGUAGAAUUCCAGGUGUAGCGGUGAAAUGCGUAGAGAUCUGGAGGAAUACCGGUGGCGAAGGCGGCCCCCUGGACAAAGACUGACGCUCAGGUGCGAAAGCGUGGGGAGCAAACAGGAUUAGAUACCCGAGUAGUC